UCGAGAAUCUUCCGCAAUGGACGCAAGUCUGACGGAGCGACGCCGCGUGAUGGAUGAAGUGCUUCGGCACGUAAACAUCUUUUAGAGGGGAUGACAAUUCGACAGUACCCUCAGAAUAAGGGGCUCCUAACUCUGUGCCAGCAGGAGCGGUAAUACAGAGGCCCCAAGCAUUAUCCGGAAUCACUGGGCGUAAAGGGUGCGUAGGUGGCAGUAUUAGUCCUUUCUUAAAUCUUCCUUGCUCAACAGGGAUGCUCGAAGGGAAACGGUACUGCUCGAGGAUGUACGAGGUAAGCAGAACUCAUGGUGUAGGGGUGAAAUCCGUUGAUAUCAUGGGGAAUACCAAAUGCGAAGGCAGCUUACUGGGACAUUCCUGACACUGAGGCACGAAAGCGUGGGUAGCAAAAAGG
This 407-nucleotide ribosomal RNA is filed under the name uncultured bacterium. Its description in RNAcentral is "bacterial SSU rRNA". It matches the Rfam family "Bacterial small subunit ribosomal RNA", at positions 355 to 776 of the family's 1533-position model. The record is from RNAcentral.